UUUUCGAAAUGGAACGUCGUGGACGAAGUGAACUAAACUUUUAGCACGCUUUGGCCGCCGAACUUUUAACUAAGCUCGACCUCAGAUCAGGUAGGAAUACCCGCUGAACUUAAGCAUAUCAAUAAGCGGAGGAAAAGAAACCAACAGGGAUUGCCUCAGUAGCGGCGAGUGAAGCGGCAAGAGCUCAGAUUUGAAAUCUCACCUAGUGUGCGAGUUGUAAAUUGCAGGUUGGAGUCUCGGGUUAGACGUGUGUGCAAGUCCCUUGGAACAGGGUGCCACUGAGGGUGAGAGCCCCGUAGCGUGCAUGUCGACACCUGUGAGGCCCUUCUGACGAGUCGAGUUGUUUGGGAAUGCAGCUCUAAGUGGGUGGUAAAUUCCAUCUAAGGCUAAAUAUUGGCGAGAGACCGAUAGCGAACAAGUACUGUGAAGGAAAGAUGAAAAGCACUUUGAAAAGAGAGUGAAACAGCACGUGAAAUUGUUGAAAGGGAAGGGUAUUGGGCUCGACAUGGGAUUUACGCAUCGUUGCCUCUCGUGGGCGGCGCUCUGGGUUUUUCCUGGGCCAGCAUCGGUUUUCGUUGCAGGAUAAGGACAAUUGGAAUGUGGCUCCUCGGAGUGUUAUAGCCUUUUGUAGAUGCUGCGUAUGGGGACCGAGGGCUGCGGC
This 661-nucleotide ribosomal RNA is filed under the name Pichia kluyveri. Its description in RNAcentral is "eukaryotic LSU rRNA". The stretch from base 77 to 661 matches the Rfam family "Eukaryotic large subunit ribosomal RNA", at positions 1 to 600 of the family's 3401-position model. Lineage: Eukaryota; Fungi; Ascomycota; Pichiomycetes; Pichiales; Pichiaceae. The record is from RNAcentral.